AGCGGGGAAGAGAAGAAGGAACACGCCAAGAGUGGAAAUGAGCUUCUACACGCUAGGGAAAAGGAAACUUGUGUUCAUCAAGUGUUUAUUGAGGCAAUUUUCUAGUUGCUCUGAGGAAUUCAGAAGUGGAUGCACUGGAUCUCAAGAUGAUAACUUAAUGAAGGAGAAAACAAAGCCCUGGGAAUAGCAAGAAAUCUGCCCAGAAGUGUAAAACCACCCUUUUACUGAAAGAACUUUCAGAAUGAGAACGUACAAUGAAAUGACUGGAGAGCUCAGGAAAGACACCCAGAAACGGUCACAGAACAUGCCUUCCUGAUGUGUAACGUGAUAAAACAUCUGAAACUCGGGACACCUGAGCACUUAGCCCAACAGCCAGAAACCAGAUGUUUGCCAAGGUUUUGGAAGCCAGCAAAGGUAUCCUGUGUUGAUUUUAACUUGAGACAGUUCUUCUACAGUUUGUUAUGUACAACGAGAACUCAGGAAAUCUUCACUAAGCACGAGGAUUCCUCGUUUCCCUUUCAGUCUUACCUAUGCAUCAGGUCCCUUCCAGGCUCACCUUCUCCAUGGACCGUCUCGA
Molecule: long non-coding RNA, 577 nt
Organism: Myotis daubentonii (Daubenton's bat)
Lineage: Eukaryota; Metazoa; Chordata; Mammalia; Chiroptera; Vespertilionidae
Source: RefSeq, a predicted model, not a curated record